GGACGAACGCUGGCGGCGUGCCUAAUACAUGCAAGUUGAGCGCUGAAGGUUGGUACUUGUACCAACUGGAUGCGCAGCGAACGGGUGAGUAACGCGUGGGGAAUCUGCCUUUGAGCGGGGGACAACAUUUGGAAACGAAUGCUAAUACCGCAUAAAAACUUUAAACACAAGUUUUAAGUUUGAAAGAUGCAAUUGCAUCACUCAAAGAUGAUCCCGCGUUGUAUUAGCUAGUUGGUGAGGUAAAGGCUCACCAAGGCGAUGAUACAUAGCCGACCUGAGAGGGUGAUCGGCCACAUUGGGACUGAGACACGGCCCAAACUCCUACGGGAGGCAGCAGUAGGGAAUCUUCGGCAAUGGACGAAAGGCUGACCGAGCAACGCCGCGUGAGUGAAGAAGGUUUUCGGAUCGUAAAACUCUGUUGGUAGAGAAGAACGUUGGUGAGAGUGGAAAGCUCAUCAAGUGACGGUAACUACCCAGAAAGGGACGGCUAACUACGUG
RNAcentral lists this ribosomal RNA (498 nucleotides) under uncultured bacterium. RNAcentral's name for it is "partial 16S ribosomal RNA". It matches the Rfam family "Bacterial small subunit ribosomal RNA", at positions 27 to 507 of the family's 1533-position model. The record is from RNAcentral.